Molecule: ribosomal RNA, 533 nt
Filed under: Pseudomonas sp. N34b
Lineage: Bacteria; Pseudomonadati; Pseudomonadota; Gammaproteobacteria; Pseudomonadales; Pseudomonadaceae
Description: bacterial SSU rRNA
Rfam family: Bacterial small subunit ribosomal RNA
Source: RNAcentral
AACGCUGGCGGCAGGCCUAACACAUGCAAGUCGAGCGGCAGCACGGGUACUUGUACCUGGUGGCGAGCGGCGGACGGGUGAGUAAUACCUAGGAAUCUGCCUGGUAGUGGGGGAUAACGUCCGGAAACGGACGCUAAUACCGCAUACGUCCUACGGGAGAAAGCAGGGGACCUUCGGGCCUUGCGCUAUCAGAUGAGCCUAGGUCGGAUUAGCUAGUUGGUGAGGUAAUGGCUCACCAAGGCUACGAUCCGUAACUGGUCUGAGAGGAUGAUCAGUCACACUGGAACUGAGACACGGUCCAGACUCCUACGGGAGGCAGCAGUGGGGAAUAUUGGACAAUGGGCGAAAGCCUGAUCCAGCCAUGCCGCGUGUGUGAAGAAGGUCUUCGGAUUGUAAAGCACUUUAAGUUGGGAGGAAGGGCCGUUACCUAAUACGUGAUGGUUUUGACGUUANCGACAGAAUAANCNCCGGNUAACUCUGUGNCANCNGCCGCGGUANUACAGANGGUGCAAGCGUUAAUCGNAAUUACUGGG